RNAcentral lists this non-coding RNA (89 nucleotides) under Pseudomonas sp. 29. The record is from RNAcentral. Lineage: Bacteria; Pseudomonadati; Pseudomonadota; Gammaproteobacteria; Pseudomonadales; Pseudomonadaceae.
UGUAGGAGUGAGCCUGCUCGCGAUAUCGGUGUGUCAGGCAAUGAAGCGUCAACUGAUCCGACGCUAUCGCGAGCAGGCUCACUCCUACA